UUGUAAGUGUACAAUUUUGUACCUUGAAAUUUGAUUUUGAUCUUGGUUGGCAACUGGUCAUUUUUGGAUAUCAAUCCAAUCUAUUAUAGAAAUUUUUAAGCAUGAUCCUAUGUUCAUCUUUAACCUAAUAUCAACUAUAUCAAUGAUUUAUCUCAUUCAUCUUAUUUUUAUUAAUUUAUAGCUACUUUAAGAUAAUAAAAGAGUUUCUAUAGCCUAAAAAGAAAAUUUGAUAAUUAGCUUUUAUCUAUUAGCUAUGAAGAUAAGUAAAUAAUCUAAGAGACUUUCAUAAAGCCUUUCUUAAUUUUCUUGAGUUCUUAUUGAAU
This 323-nucleotide long non-coding RNA is filed under the name Physcomitrium patens. Its description in RNAcentral is "long non-coding RNA (PPAT_LNC013960)". Lineage: Eukaryota; Viridiplantae; Streptophyta; Bryopsida; Funariales; Funariaceae. The record is from RNAcentral.